GAUGAACGCUGGCGGCGUGCCUAAUACAUGCAAGUCGAGCGAACGGACGAGAAGCUUGCUUCUCUGAUGUUAGCGGCGGACGGGUGAGUAACACGUGGAUAACCUACCUAUAAGACUGGGAUAACUUCGGGAAACCGGAGCUAAUACCGGAUAAUAUUUUGAACCGCAUGGUUCAAAAGUGAAAGACGGUCUUGCUGUCACUUAUAGAUGGAUCCGCGCUGCAUUAGCUAGUUGGUAAGGUAACGGCUUACCAAGGCAACGAUGCAUAGCCGACCUGAGAGGGUGAUCGGCCACACUGGAACUGAGACACGGUCCAGACUCCUACGGGAGGCAGCAGUAGGGAAUCUUCCGCAAUGGGCGAAAGCCUGACGGAGCAACGCCGCGUGAGUGAUGAAGGUCUUCGGAUCGUCAAACUCUGUUAUUAGGGAAGAACAUAUGUGUAAGUAACUGUGCACAUCUUGACGGUACCUAAUCAGAAAGCCACGGCUAACUACGUGCCAGCAGCCGCGGUAAUACGUAGGUGGCAAGCGUUAUCCGGAAUUAUUGGGCGUAAAGCGCGCGUAGGCGGUUUUUUUAAUUCUGAUGUGAAAGCCCACGGCUCCACCCGUGGAGGGUCAUUGGAAACUGGAAAACUUGAGUGCAGAAGAGGAAAGUGGAAUUCCAUGUGUAGCGGUGAAAUGCGCAGAGAUAUGGAGGAACACCAGUGGCGAAGGCGACUUUCUGGUCUGUAACUGACGCUGAUGUGCGAAAGCGUGGGGAUCAAACAGGAUUAGAUACCCUGGUAGUCCACGCCGUAAACGAUGAGUGCUAAGUGUUAGGGGGUUUCCGCCCCUUAGUGCUGCAGCUAACGCAUUAAGCACUCCGCCUGGGGAGUACGACCGCAAGGUUGAAACUCAAAGGAAUUGACGGGGACCCGCACAAGCGGUGGAGCAUGUGGUUUAAUUCGAAGCAACGCGAAGAACCUUACCAAAUCUUGACAUCCUUUGACAACUCUAGAGAUAGAGCCUUCCCCUUCGGGGGACAAAGUGACAGGUGGUGCAUGGUUGUCGUCAGCUCGUGUCGUGAGAUGUUGGGUUAAGUCCCGCAACGAGCGCAACCCUUAAGCUUAGUUGCCAUCAUUAAGUUGGGCACUCUAAGUUGACUGCCGGUGACAAACCGGAGGAAGGUGGGGAUGACGUCAAAUCAUCAUGCCCCUUAUGAUUUGGGCUACACACGUGCUACAAUGGACAAUACAAAGGGCAGCGAAACCGCGAGGUCAAGCAAAUCCCAUAAAGUUGUUCUCAGUUCGGAUUGUAGUCUGCAACUCGACUACAUGAAGCUGGAAUCGCUAGUAAUCGUAGAUCAGCAUGCUACGGUGAAUACGUUCCCGGGUCU
This 1374-nucleotide ribosomal RNA is filed under the name uncultured bacterium. Its description in RNAcentral is "bacterial SSU rRNA". It matches the Rfam family "Bacterial small subunit ribosomal RNA", at positions 28 to 1381 of the family's 1533-position model. The record is from RNAcentral.